Molecule: non-coding RNA, 2734 nt
Organism: Salvelinus sp. IW2-2015
Lineage: Eukaryota; Metazoa; Chordata; Actinopteri; Salmoniformes; Salmonidae
Source: RefSeq, a predicted model, not a curated record
UAUACUGAUAUUGUGUAAUAUAAUGUUAGUGGUAUAUACUGUGGUAUUAGUACUAUAACAACAACUAUGUAAUGUCUUCUGAGAGCUCAUUCUCCAUUGAACUCCAAUGGCAGGGCUCUAUGUGCUGCAGAAAAUCGGCUCGACCCAGGAGGGCAACAACAGCUUCACUUUGUCAGGGGACUACUACAACAGAGAACUGUCAGGUUGGGAGCCCUUCAUCGAACCCUGUAUCAGUCUGCAGGGUGCCUCCAGCCAUUGCGCCUCAAGGUGGGCAUCCACGCCAAGCAGACUGGAUGUCAACAUCACCUCUGUCCUUUUGGGUAUGACCUGCACUGCCCACUAUUUGGACACAGUGGAUGCUUCUGACACGGCAGCCUAUUCCCUAUGUCGUCGUGCACUACUCUUGACCCGUGUCAAAAGUAGUGCACUAUGUCGUGAAUUGGCACACCUUGUUUAACUACAGUGGGUUAGCCCCGGAUAUAUGUAAGCCAUGUAUGUGUGAUCUGUAGUGGUGAACUUUUAAUGGAUUUGAGCACAAAUGAACCAUUAUAUUGUCCAGAUAUUCUAGUGGCCGCUCUAAUAAUGAAAAGAAAUGUCUUACAAAAUGGAAGGCAGUCGGGAUGAGGCAAGAUCAGGUGGGAUCAUUCUAGCCAAUGAGAGGGCAGAUAUGCGUGUGAACAGUUGGCACAACGGUUUCGUCUAGUUACCACAGCCACAAAGUCAAAAUUGGUUAUAUACAAAAAAAUCAUAAAAACUAAAAUGAGCUUUUUGGUUGUAAUUUAAGGUUAGUCAUAAGAUUAGCAGUGUGGUUGAAGUUAGAAUUAAAAUCACAUUUUAAGAAGAUAAAUUGUAGAAAUAGUUAGGGUUUAUGACUUUGUGGCUGUGGUAACUAGUGACGACCAGUCACAACUCCGAUAUAAAUMGUUUUCUCAAAGUUGCCGGUAUGUCACAUGGCCUACUUAUAUCACUGGUAACAACCUAAUCAUUACGUAACUUCUAUUCGAUCAAAUAAGCCACACGUAGCAAAUAAGCCACUGCAUUUUUUGUUAGCCAAAGUCGACACUCAUUGACCUCCAUGCAAAAACUCCUUGCGCACCAAAAAAACCAAAAAGCUCCACUUGCUGGAGAAGAUUUUGGCCCAGUCAUGGCUCUCACUUUGCUUCUUCCGCUCUGAUUUUGAGCUUCCUCCUCACCUUGCUACUGCCCUCUUCUGGCUACACAGAGCAGUACAGCCUCACCAAGAGCAUCUUGGCUGGCUGACUACUGCAAGAAAGAGGAGCAGACUCCCCAACCCUUGGCAGCCCUAUCCUGGAUGGGCUCCUCGGUGGACCCCCCCCCCCCAGUGGGUACUGUUUCCCCCAAGUUUACACACACACGUAUCACUUGUUAUGAGCUGAAAAUAGCCUUAGUAGAAAAAAGUAGAGCCCUCAUACUCAAUUGCUCCAGCACAUUACUGUACUAGUUAGCGGGUAGUUACAAAAAUCAGAUUUAAUAUACGUUUGUUCUGGAGUAUAUGAUUGCGUGGUUCCCACUUGAUUCUAUGCUAACGUUUCGAUACUGCCAGCAUUUCUUUGUAUUUCUAUUUGUAUCUUAUCAUUUUGUGUUGAUUUUGGAGAUUUUUUUUUUGCAGUGCAACAAAGCUUUACACAGAUGCAUUGGAAACCUGCCUGAAUUAUCGCCGCCUUCGCAUGGUUAUUGCACAUUUGGAUUGUUUGAUGAAAAUGUUGAUUCAAGYGUUGGGAAUGACUUAAUUUACACAGCUCCUUUGCCUUGUCAAAAUGGUGUAUUAAGAGUUAAGAGCGGCUCAUGUUUUUGUUCAAUCAUUUUGAUAACUCUUUACUUUACGGUCCUAGGCCUAUAUAGGUCUAUCGUGUCUAAAUUAUGCUAUCAGCUAACAGCUACGACAUUUGUUCUGGCCUUAUUAUGGCAGUGUAGGCCUUAUGGCGGAGGGCUUCAAGUCAAAGUAAGAUUGCUGUUAAGAUGUUAUUUAGCUUAGAUCCAGGUCUUCUGUUUGGUAGUAUGACCACAUAAUAUAAAAUAAAACACACUUGUCAUGGCUGGUAUUAAAACAUGUUUUUUAGUACACCCUGACCUUUGCCCUCUCUUCUGACCCCUAGCACGUCUCUCCUCUCUGUGGUAACUGUCUCUCUCUGYUGUAAGGUGUCCCUCUUGCCUACCACUGUCAGUUUGACUUGCCUUGAGCAGCACAUUGACUCCAGAGGUACAAUCCAUAGAUCACAGAGAGUGCAGCGGUUGGCCUCCACCAUAGAAAUAGAAUUACUAGAAUGGUAAUCUCUAAGUAGAAUGGGUGGACUGGUGGCCAGGAAGUAGUCGUGUUAUAUUUCUAUGGCAUCCACACCAUGGGUUUUCCCAUCUCAAUGCUUUUCCUUUAUCAUGUGUAUCAUCGCUAUCCUUAAGUACAGCGUUAAUGCAACGUUAUUACAGAGAGUUUUGUGUAACACUAGUGUUUCACGAUCUUGUGACAAUAUUGGCAAAUUUGAUCCAUUGUUAAACUGAAGUCAGUAUAAUCAGCAUCCACAGAGACAGUAUUUUAUUGACCCCCCCUUAGUUAGAACAGAGCCAUUGUGUCUGGUGGUGCCGGAGUCGUGUUAGAAAGUUAGAUUAUCUGUUUAUUCUCAGACUUUCCUUUCUUUCUUUUUUUUUACUCUGUUUGUGUCAUGUUGUUUCACCUCCCCCAUUCAAUGUCAAUCUAUAUAAAUCCAAUCCAUUGUGA